RNAcentral lists this ribosomal RNA (497 nucleotides) under uncultured bacterium. Its description in RNAcentral is "partial 16S ribosomal RNA". It matches the Rfam family "Bacterial small subunit ribosomal RNA", at positions 28 to 507 of the family's 1533-position model. The record is from RNAcentral.
GAUGAACGCUGGCGGCGUGCCUAAUACAUGCAAGUCGAGCGAACGGACGAGAAGCUUGCUUUUCUGAUGUUAGCGGCGGACGGGUGAGUAACACGUGGAUAACCUACCUAUAAGACUGGGAUAACUUCGGGAAACCGGAGCUAAUACCGGAUAAUAUUUUGAACCGCAUGGUUCAACAGUGAAAGACGGUCUUGCUGUCACUAAUAGAUGGAUCCGCGCUGCAUUAGCUAGUUGGUAAGGUAACGGCUUACCAAGGCAACGAUGCAUAGCCGACCUGAGAGGGUGAUCGGCCACACUGGAACUGAGACACGGUCCAGACUCCUACGGGAGGCAGCAGUAGGGAAUCUUCCGCAAUGGGCGAAAGCCUGACGGAGCAACGCCGCGUGAGUGAUGAAGGUCUUCGGAUCGUAAAACUCUGUUAUUAGGGAAGAACAUAUGUGUAAGUAACUGUGCACAUCUUGACGGUACCUAAUCAGAAAGCCACGGCUAACUACGUG